This 488-nucleotide ribosomal RNA is filed under the name uncultured bacterium. Its description in RNAcentral is "partial 16S ribosomal RNA". It matches the Rfam family "Bacterial small subunit ribosomal RNA", at positions 28 to 507 of the family's 1533-position model. The record is from RNAcentral.
GAUGAACGCUAGCGGCAGGCCUAAUACAUGCAAGUCGGACGGGAUCCAUUGAUAGCUUGCUCUCAAUGGUGAGAGUGGCGCACGGGUGCGUAACGCGUGAGCAACCUGCCUCCAUCAGGGGGAUAGCCUCUCGAAAGAGAGAUUAACACCGCAUAAUAUCAACAGUUCGCAUGUUCAGUUGAUUAAAUAUUUAUAGGAUGGAGAUGGGCUCGCGUGACAUUAGCUAGUUGGUAGGGUAACGGCUUACCAAGGCGACGAUGUCUAGGGGCUCUGAGAGGAGAAUCCCCCACACUGGUACUGAGACACGGACCAGACUCCUACGGGAGGCAGCAGUAAGGAAUAUUGGUCAAUGGGCGGAAGCCUGAACCAGCCAUGCCGCGUGCAGGAUGACUGCCCUAUGGGUGGUAAACUGCUUUUGUCCAGGAAUAAACCUAAAUACGAGUAUUUAGCUGAAUGUACUGGAAGAAUAAGGAUCGGCUAACUCCGUG